AUUGAACGCUGGCGGCAUGCUUUACACAUGCAAGUCGAACGACCGCGCGGGCUUCGUCCUCGUGGCGCGUGGCGAACGGGCGAGUAAUGCAUCGGAACGUGCCCUGCCUUGGGGGCUAGCAUGGCGACAGCCGGCCUAAUCCCGCACCCGACCUGAGGGUGAACGCGGGGGUCCGAUAGGCCUCGCGCUUUUUGCUCGCCCGAGGUGGGGUAUGCUCGUGGGUUGGGCAAGGGCUUACCAAGGCGACGUUCCGUGGCUAGUCUGCGUGGCCGACCUGCCACACGGAGACUGAGAAACGGCCAGACUCCUACGGGAGGCAGCAGUAGGGAAUUUUGGGCAAUGGGGGCAACCCUGACCCAGCCAUGCCGCGUGCGGGAAGAAGGCCUUCGGGUUGUAAACCUCUUUUGUUCGGGAAGAAAACCUGUGUGAGAAUACCUGGAGGUGAUGACGGUACCGGAAGAGAAAGCACCGGCUAACUACGUG
Molecule: ribosomal RNA, 483 nt
Filed under: uncultured bacterium
Lineage: Bacteria
Description: partial 16S ribosomal RNA
Rfam family: Bacterial small subunit ribosomal RNA
Source: RNAcentral